AGAGAAGAAAACUGUUAAGGAUGAUGAAAAAAUAUUAAGAAAUUUUACAAAGAGCUACAAUUGAAAACAAAUUACAAAGCAUGAUGGAAAAUUUCAAACUUAAAGAAGAGGUUCAUAAACAACAGGUCAAUGAUACAAAAACUAGCCACCGUACCAAAGUUAUUACUGAAGUUGAUGGACGUUAAGUUAAAUAGUACGAAGAUAAAUUACAAUCUGAAUUACAAAUGUUACGACAACAAGCUGAAGAAGAUGUCAAACGAAACAAAAAAGACAUUUCUGAUUUGUUUGAUAGCAAGUUUCAAAAUUUGGAAAAUGAAUUGCAACGC
Molecule: long non-coding RNA, 326 nt
Organism: Acyrthosiphon pisum (pea aphid)
Lineage: Eukaryota; Metazoa; Arthropoda; Insecta; Hemiptera; Aphididae
Exons: 3
Source: RefSeq, a predicted model, not a curated record